GAUGAGCGCUGGCGGCGUGCCUAAUACAUGCAAGUCGAGCGAACGGACGAGAAGCUUGCUUCUCUGAUGUUAGCGGCGGACGGGUGAGUAACACGUGGAUAACCUACCUAUAAGACUGGGAUAACUUCGGGAAACCGUAGCUAAUACCGGAUAAUAUUUUGAACCGCAUGGUUCAAAAGUGAAAGACGGUCUUGCUGUCACUUAUAGAUGGAUCCGCGCUGCAUUAGCUAGUUGGUAAGGUAACGGCUUACCAAGGCAACGAUGCAUAGCCGACCUGAGAGGGUGAUCGGCCACACUGGAACUGAGACACGGUCCAGACUCCUAAGGGAGGCAGCAGUAGGGAAUCUUCCGCAAUGGGCGAAAGCCUGACGGAGCAACGCCGCGUGAGUGAUGAAGGUCUUCGGAUCGUAAAACUCUGUUAUUAGGGAAGAACAUAUGUGUAAGUAACUGUGCACAUCUUGACGGUACCUAAUCAGAAAGCCAAGGCUAACUACGUG
This 497-nucleotide ribosomal RNA is filed under the name uncultured bacterium. RNAcentral's name for it is "partial 16S ribosomal RNA". It matches the Rfam family "Bacterial small subunit ribosomal RNA", at positions 28 to 507 of the family's 1533-position model. The record is from RNAcentral.